Molecule: ribosomal RNA, 257 nt
Filed under: uncultured bacterium
Lineage: Bacteria
Description: partial 16S ribosomal RNA
Rfam family: Bacterial small subunit ribosomal RNA
Source: RNAcentral
UACAGAGACCUCAAGCGUUAUCCGGAAUCAUUGGGCGUAAAGCGUACCGAUAGGUGGUUUUGAUAGUUUUGGGUAAAAGCCAGAAGCUCAACUUCUGAGUUUGCUCAAAAUACUUCAUGACUAGAGGGGCAAAGAGGUCCUUGGAACGAACGGUGUAGUAGUGAAAUGCGUUGAUAUCGUUCGGAACACCGAAAGCGAAGGCAGAGGACUGGGUGCCACCUGACACUGCUAGGACGAAAGCGUGGGGAGCGAAUGGG